This 252-nucleotide ribosomal RNA is filed under the name uncultured bacterium. Its description in RNAcentral is "partial 16S ribosomal RNA". It matches the Rfam family "Bacterial small subunit ribosomal RNA", at positions 524 to 776 of the family's 1533-position model. The record is from RNAcentral.
UACGGAGGAUGCGAGCGUUAUCCGGAUUUAUUGGGUUUAAAGGGUGCGUAGGCGGGAUGCCAAGUCAGCGGUAAAGAUGCGGUGCUCAACGCCGUCGAGCCGUUGAAACUGGCGUUCUUGAGUGGGCGAGAAGUAUGCGGAAUGCGUGGUGUGGCGGUGAAAUGCAUAGAUAUCACGCAGAACUCCGAUUGCGAAGGCAGCAUACCGGCGCCCUACUGACGCUGAGGCACGAAAGCGUGGGUAUCGAACAGG